Helianthus annuus (common sunflower) is the source of this 585-nucleotide long non-coding RNA. RefSeq lists it as uncharacterized. The record is from RefSeq and is a predicted model, not a curated record. The transcript has 2 exons. NCBI's taxonomy places the organism in Eukaryota, Viridiplantae, Streptophyta, Magnoliopsida, Asterales, Asteraceae.
UUGCCCAAAAUAUCAUGAAUAGAUAUGGGGAGACAUUAUGAAAAAGUAUGGGUUAAACCAACUCUAGUUUCAUUCAGAUAUACAUAAACCUUGCUAUAUACUCUAUCCAAAACCAAAUCACAUUAACCUUGAAUCACCACCAUGAACGAGUGCCACUCCUAGCCAUCGAGCCCAACGCAAAACCACUAGCACUACCGCCACCAUAAGCCGCAAACGACCACUGCACGUCCACCUCCUUCAGCCAUCUUCACCGCUUCGCGUACACAAUCCGUUGUUGCCCUCCGUCGUCCAGAUACACGCACGCACCAACGACGUUGGCGUCUCUUUUGUCGGAGCCAACACCACCGUAACGGUACCACUCGUCUCGUCCUUCGAUUUUGCAAGGUUCAUGUAAGUUUUGAGUACGACUCGAAUUGUGGAUUUUUGCUUUGCUUGCUAAACUAAGGGACGGAUUCCUAAUUCUGACAUCAUAGUAUUUUUAUCAUAUCCGUCACUUUGCAGUACGGAUUUUCGUGUGUUCCUGUUAACCGUUUGAUAUGUGAUGCGUUACCUGAAUCAGUAUGGAAUUGUGUAUGAUUAUUAGUG